This 248-nucleotide ribosomal RNA is filed under the name uncultured Geobacter sp. RNAcentral describes it as "partial 16S ribosomal RNA". It matches the Rfam family "Bacterial small subunit ribosomal RNA", at positions 1137 to 1382 of the family's 1533-position model. Lineage: Bacteria; Pseudomonadati; Thermodesulfobacteriota; Desulfuromonadia; Geobacterales; Geobacteraceae. The record is from RNAcentral.
ACUCUGUGGAGACUGCCCGGUGGUCAAACCGGAGGAAGGUGGGGAUGACGUCAAGUCCUCAUGGCCCUUAUGACCAGGGCUACACACGUGCUACAAUGGCCGGUACAAAGAGUUGCGAUACAGCGAUGUGGAGCUAAUCUCAUAAAGCCGGUCUCAGUUCGGAUUGGAGUCUGCAACUCGACUCCAUGAAGUUGGAAUCGCUAGUAAUCGCGGAUCAGCACGCCGCGGUGAAUACGUUCCCGGGCCUU